GACGAACGCUGGCGGCGUGCUUAACACAUGCGAGUCGAACGGAAAGGCCCUGCUUUUGUGGGGUGCUCGAGUGGCGAACGGGUGAGUAACACGUGAGUAACCUGCCCUUGACUUUGGGAUAACUUCAGGAAACUGGGGCUAAUACCGGAUAGGAGCUCCUGCUGCAUGGUGGGGGUUGGAAAGUUUCGGCGGUUGGGGAUGGACUCGCGGCUUAUCAGCUUGUUGGUGGGGUAGUGGCUUACCAAGGCUUUGACGGGUAGCCGGCCUGAGAGGGUGACCGGCCACAAUGGGACUGAGAUACGGCCCAGACUGCUACGGGAGGCAGCAGUGGGGAAUAUUGCACAAUGGGCGGAAGCCUGAUGCAGCAACGCCGCGUGCGGGAUGACGGCCUUCGGGUUGUAAACCGCUUUCGCCUGUGACGAAGCGUGAGUGACGGUAAUGGGUAAAGAAGCACCGGCUAACUACGUG
This 468-nucleotide ribosomal RNA is filed under the name uncultured bacterium. RNAcentral describes it as "partial 16S ribosomal RNA". It matches the Rfam family "Bacterial small subunit ribosomal RNA", at positions 28 to 507 of the family's 1533-position model. The record is from RNAcentral.